This 253-nucleotide ribosomal RNA is filed under the name uncultured bacterium. RNAcentral's name for it is "partial 16S ribosomal RNA". It matches the Rfam family "Bacterial small subunit ribosomal RNA", at positions 524 to 776 of the family's 1533-position model. The record is from RNAcentral.
UACGAAGGGGGCUGGCGUUGUUCGGAAUCACUGGGCGUAAAGGGCGCGUAGGCGGCCGCUCAAGUCGGGGGUGAAAGCCUGUGGCUUAACCACAGAAUUGCCUUCGAUACUGUCGGGCUUGAGACCGGAAGAGGUAAGUGGAACUGCGAGUGUAGAGGUGAAAUUCGUAGAUAUUCGCAAGAACACCGGUGGCGAAGGCGGCUUACUGGUCCGGUUCUGACGCUGAGGCGCGAAAGCGUGGGGAGCAAACAGG